Molecule: non-coding RNA, 81 nt
Filed under: Candidatus Nitrotoga sp. BS
Lineage: Bacteria; Pseudomonadati; Pseudomonadota; Betaproteobacteria; Nitrosomonadales; Gallionellaceae
Description: SAH_riboswitch
Rfam family: SAH (S-adenosyl-L-homocysteine) riboswitch aptamer
Source: RNAcentral
AGUUCCGAGGGGCGCUGCGACCUUGAAUAAGGCCAGGCUUGGAGCACAGGAGUGUAUCUGUAGCAACGGCGCUCAUUCAUU